UUAAGCGACUAAGCGUACACGGUGGAUGCCCUGGCAGUCAGAGGCGAUGAAGGACGUGCUAAUCUGCGAUAAGCGUCGGUAAGGUGAUAUGAACCGUUAUAACCGGCGAUUUCCGAAUGGGGAAACCCAGUGUGAUUCGUCACACUAUCAUUAACUGAAUCCAUAGGUUAAUGAGGCGAACCGGGGGAACUGAAACAUCUAAGUACCCCGAGGAAAAGAAAUCAACCGAGAUUCCCCCAGUAGCGGCGAGCGAACGGGGAGGAGCCCAGAGCCUGAAUCAGUGUGUGUGUUAGUGGAAGCGUCUGGAAAGGCGCGCGAUACAGGGUGACAGCCCCGUACACAAAAAUGCACAUAUUGUGAGCUCGAUGAGUAGGGCGGGACACGUGGUAUCCUGUCUGAAUAUGGGGGGCCCAUCCUCCAAGGCUAAAUACUCCUGACUGACCGAUAGUGAACCAGUACCGUGAGGGAAAGGCGAAAAGAACCCCGGCGAGGGGAGUGAAAAAGAACCUGAAACCGUGUACGUACAAGCAGUGGGAGCACGCUUAGGCGUGUGACUGCGUACCUUUUGUAUAAUGGGUCAGCGACUUAUAUUCUGUAGCAAGGUUAACCGAAUAGGGGAGCCGAAGGGAAACCGAGUCUUAACUGGGCGUUAAGUUGCAGGGUAUAGACCCGAAACCCGGUGAUCUAGCCAUGGGCAGGUUGAAGGUUGGGUAACACUAACUGGAGGACCGAACCGACUAAUGUUGAAAAAUUAGCGGAUGACUUGUGGCUGGGGGUGAAAGGCCAAUCAAACCGGGAGAUAGCUGGUUCUCCCCGAAAGCUAUUUAGGUAGCGCCUCGUGAAUUCAUCUCCGGGGGUAGAGCACUGUUUCGGCAAGGGGGUCAUCCCGACUUACCAACCCGAUGCAAACUGCGAAUACCGGAGAAUGUUAUCACGGGAGACACACGGCGGGUGCUAACGUCCGUCGUGAAGAGGGAAACAACCCAGACCGCCAGCUAAGGUCCCAAAGUCAUGGUUAAGUGGGAAACGAUGUGGGAAGGCCCAGACAGCCAGGAUGUUGGCUUAGAAGCAGCCAUCAUUUAAAGAAAGCGUAAUAGCUCACUGGUCGAGUCGGCCUGCGCGGAAGAUGUAACGGGGCUAAACCAUGCACCGAAGCUGCGGCAGCGACGCUUAUGCGUUGUUGGGUAGGGGAGCGUUCUGUAAGCCUGCGAAGGUGUGCUGUGAGGCAUGCUGGAGGUAUCAGAAGUGCGAAUGCUGACAUAAGUAACGAUAAAGCGGGUGAAAAGCCCGCUCGCCGGAAGACCAAGGGUUCCUGUCCAACGUUAAUCGGGGCAGGGUGAGUCGACCCCUAAGGCGAGGCCGAAAGGCGUAGUCGAUGGGAAACAGGUUAAUAUUCCUGUACUUGGUGUUACUGCGAAGGGGGGACGGAGAAGGCUAUGUUGGCCGGGCGACGGUUGUCCCGGUUUAAGCGUGUAGGCUGGUUUUCCAGGCAAAUCCGGAAAAUCAAGGCUGAGGCGUGAUGACGAGGCACUACGGUGCUGAAGCAACAAAUGCCCUGCUUCCAGGAAAAGCCUCUAAGCAUCAGGUAACAUCAAAUCGUACCCCAAACCGACACAGGUGGUCAGGUAGAGAAUACCAAGGCGCUUGAGAGAACUCGGGUGAAGGAACUAGGCAAAAUGGUGCCGUAACUUCGGGAGAAGGCACGCUGAUAUGUAGGUGAAGUCCCUUGCGGAUGGAGCUGAAAUCAGUCGAAGAUACCAGCUGGCUGCAACUGUUUAUUAAAAACACAGCACUGUGCAAACACGAAAGUGGACGUAUACGGUGUGACGCCUGCCCGGUGCCGGAAGGUUAAUUGAUGGGGUCAGCGCAAGCGAAGCUCUUGAUCGAAGCCCCGGUAAACGGCGGCCGUAACUAUAACGGUCCUAAGGUAGCGAAAUUCCUUGUCGGGUAAGUUCCGACCUGCACGAAUGGCGUAAUGAUGGCCAGGCUGUCUCCACCCGAGACUCAGUGAAAUUGAACUCGCUGUGAAGAUGCAGUGUACCCGCGGCAAGACGGAAAGACCCCGUGAACCUUUACUAUAGCUUGACACUGAACAUUGAGCCUUGAUGUGUAGGAUAGGUGGGAGGCUUUGAAGUGUGGACGCCAGUCUGCAUGGAGCCGGCCUUGAAAUACCACCCUUUAAUGUUUGAUGUUCUAACGUGGACCCGUGAUCCGGGUUGCGGACAGUGUCUGGUGGGUAGUUUGACUGGGGCGGUCUCCUCCUAAAGAGUAACGGAGGAGCACGAAGGUUGGCUAAUCCUGGUCGGACAUCAGGAGGUUAGUGCAAUGGCAUAAGCCAGCUUGACUGCGAGCGUGACGGCGCGAGCAGGUGCGAAAGCAGGUCAUAGUGAUCCGGUGGUUCUGAAUGGAAGGGCCAUCGCUCAACGGAUAAAAGGUACUCCGGGGAUAACAGGCUGAUACCGCCCAAGAGUUCAUAUCGACGGCGGUGUUUGGCACCUCGAUGUCGGCUCAUCACAUCCUGGGGCUGAAGUAGGUCCCAAGGGUAUGGCUGUUCGCCAUUUAAAGCGGUACGCGAGCUGGGUUUAGAACGUCGUGAGACAGUUCGGUCCCUAUCUGCCGUGGGCGCUGGAGAACUGAGGGGGGCUGCUCCUAGUACGAGAGGACCGGAGUGGACGCAUCACUGGUGUUCGGGUUGUCAUGCCAAUGGCACUGCCCGGUAGCUAAAUGCGGAAGAGAUAAGUGCUGAAAGCAUCUAAGCACGAAACUUGCCCCGAGAUGAGUUCUCCCUGACCCUUUAAGGGUCCUGAAGGAACGUUGAAGACGACGACGUUGAUAGGCCGGGUGUGUAAGCGCAGCGAUGCGUUGAGCUAACCGGUACUAAUGAACCGUGAGGCUUAACCUU
This 2902-nucleotide ribosomal RNA is filed under the name Shigella sonnei. RNAcentral describes it as "bacterial LSU rRNA". It matches the Rfam family "Bacterial large subunit ribosomal RNA". Lineage: Bacteria; Pseudomonadati; Pseudomonadota; Gammaproteobacteria; Enterobacterales; Enterobacteriaceae. The record is from RNAcentral.